AUACGUAGGGGGCGAGCGUUGUCCGGCAUGAUUGGGCGUAAAGGGCGCGUAGGCGGCGCGGUACGUCUGGAGUGAAAGUCCUGCUUUCAAGGUGGGAAUUGCUUUGGAUACUGCCGCGCUUGAGUGCAGGAGAGGUUAUCGGAAUUCCCGGUGUAGCCAUGAAAUGCGUAGAGAUCGGGAGGAUCACCAGUGGCGAAGGCGGGUAACUGGACUGCAACUGACGCUGCGGCGCGAGAGUGUGGGGAGCAAACAGGAUUAGAUACCCUGGUAGUCCACACUGUAAACGAUGAAUGCUAGGUGUAAGAGGUAUCGACCCCUUUUGUGCCGGAGUCAACACAAUAAGCAUUCCGCCUGGGGAGUACGGCCGCAAGGUUGAAACUCAAAUGAAUUGACGGGG
This 397-nucleotide ribosomal RNA is filed under the name uncultured bacterium. RNAcentral describes it as "partial 16S ribosomal RNA". It matches the Rfam family "Bacterial small subunit ribosomal RNA", at positions 523 to 918 of the family's 1533-position model. The record is from RNAcentral.